This 774-nucleotide ribosomal RNA is filed under the name uncultured Neocallimastigales. RNAcentral's name for it is "partial large subunit ribosomal RNA". It matches the Rfam family "Eukaryotic large subunit ribosomal RNA", at positions 24 to 616 of the family's 3401-position model. The record is from RNAcentral. Lineage: Eukaryota; Fungi; Neocallimastigomycota; Neocallimastigomycetes; Neocallimastigales.
UACGACUACAUAUCAGGCAUAUCAAUAAGCGGAGGAAAAGAAACUAACAAGGAUUCCCCUAGUAACGGCGAGUGAAGCGGGAAGAGCUCAAAUUUGAAAUCUUAAAGGGUUUCCCUUUACGAAUUGUAGUUUAAAGAAGUGUUUUCUGUUGAAGUUUUGGUAAAAGUUCUUUGGAAUAGGACAUCAUAGAGGGUGAGAAUCCCGUAUUUGACCGUUACUUUCCAGCUGUGUGAUACACUUUCAAAGAGUCGGAUUGUUUGGGAAUGCAGUCCAAGAUGGGUGGCAAAUUUCAUCUAAAGCUAAAUAUUGGCGAGAGACCGAUAGCGAACAAGUACCGUGAGGGAAAGAUGAAAAGAACUUUGAAAAGAGAGUUAAACAGUACGUGAAAUUGUCAAAAGGGAAGCGUUUGACACCAGUGUUGUUUUCUCGAAAAUCAAUUAAAAAAGGCAGGAUUUUGUGUUGUAUUGACUUUAUCAGCUUUCUGCACUCUUUUCUGUCUUUUUUAAUGCACUUUUCGUUUAACAAGUCAACAUCAAUUUCUUUUGUUGUAAAAGGGUCAUUGGAAGGUGGCUUUCUUUUCGGAGAAAGUGUUUAUAGCCUUUGGCCUCUGCAAUCGGAGAGAUUGAGGUCUGCAGCGUAGAUCCUUCGGGGUUAGAUACAUUUGUGCUAAGUUAUAGCCUUUCAUAGACAACUUGUUGACUAUGAUCAGUCAUGUAGCUUACUCGCUUAUGCUAUUUUACCUACGCUUAGGAUGUUGAGCGCAUGUCUCUCUCU